CAGCAGUCGCCACGGGAAUACAGAGGGUGCGAGCGUUAAUCGGAUUUACUGGGCGUAAAGCGUGCGUAGGCGGCUUUUUAAGUCGGAUGUGAAAUCCCUGAGCUUAACUUAGGAAUUGCAUUCGAUACUGGGAAGCUAGAGUAUGGGAGAGGAUGGUAGAAUUCCAGGUGUAGCGGUGAAAUGCGUAGAGAUCUGGAGGAAUACCGAUGGCGAAGGCAGCCAUCUGGCCUAAUACUGACGCUGAGGUACGAAAGCAUGGGGAGCAAACAGGAUUAGAUACCCGGGUAGUCCCUGUCUCUUAUAC
RNAcentral lists this ribosomal RNA (304 nucleotides) under uncultured bacterium. Its description in RNAcentral is "partial 16S ribosomal RNA". It matches the Rfam family "Bacterial small subunit ribosomal RNA", at positions 506 to 807 of the family's 1533-position model. The record is from RNAcentral.